RNAcentral lists this ribosomal RNA (1444 nucleotides) under metagenome. RNAcentral describes it as "bacterial SSU rRNA". It matches the Rfam family "Bacterial small subunit ribosomal RNA". The record is from RNAcentral.
AGAGUUUGAUCCUGGCUCAGAACGAACGCUGGCGGCGUGCCUAACAUAUGUAAGUUGAGUGCGAAAGGAGUAAUCCGAGUAGAGCGGUGUAUGGGUGUGUAAUACGUGGGUAAUCUGUUUUAGGGUCAGGGAUAAUUUUCCGAAAGGUUAGUUAAUACCUGGUAAGCUUACGGUGUCUUUGGACGCUGUGGGAAAAGUAGGUUUCUAUUUAUAAGCUUACGCCCAGAGAUGAGCCCGCGGCCCAUCAGUUCGUUGGUGGGGUAAUGGUCCACCAAGGUAAUGAUGGGUAGCUGGUCUGAGAGGAUGAUCAGCCACACUGGAAUUGAGACACGGUUUAGAUUUUUAUGGGAGGUAGUAGUGGGGAAUUUUUCAUAAUGGGCGAAAGCCUGAUGGAGCAACGCCGCGUGUGUGAUGAAGGUUUUUGGAUCGUAAAGCACUUUCGACCGGGACGAAAAACCCCUGGUUAAUAUCCAGGGGUUUGAUGGUACCGGGAGAAGAAGCACCGGUUAACUCUGUGUUAGCAGUUGUGGUAAUACAGAGGGUGCAAGCGUUGUUCGGAAUUAUUGGGCGUAAAGCGCGUGUAGGCGGCUUGGCAAGUCAGAUGUGAAAGUCCUCGGUUUAACCGAGGAAGUGCGUCUGAAAUUGCUGAGCUUGAGUGUCGGAGAGGAUGGCGGAAUUCUGUAAGUAGAGGUGAAAUUCGUAGAUAUGCGGAGGAAUACCGGUGGUGAAGGUGGCCAUCUGGACGACUAUUGAUGCUGAGACGCGAAAGCGUGGGGAGUAAAUAGGAUUAGAUAUCCUGGUAGUUCACGCCGUAAACGAUGAGAACUAGGUAUUGUGGGUGUUGAUUCCCGCGGUGCCGUAGUUAAUGUAUAAGUUCUCCGCCUGGGAAGUAUGGCCGUAAGGCUAAAACUCAAAGGAAUUGAUGGGGGCCCGCACAAGCGGUGGAGCAUGUGGUUUAAUUCGACCAUGCGUAGAAUUUUACCCAGACUUGACAUCUAUCAAACCCGGCUUAAAAGCUGGGGUGCCCGUAAGGGAAUGGUAAGAUAGGUGCUGUAUGGCUGUCGUCAGCUCGUGUUGUGAGAUGUUGGGUUAAGUCCCGCAAUGAGCGUAACCCUCGCCUUUAGUUGCUCCGUAAGGAGAUUUUUUAGAGGGAUUGCCAGUGAUAAGCUGGAGGAAGGUGGGGAUGACGUCAAGUCCUUAUGGCCUUUAUGUCUGGGGUUACACACGUGCUACAAUGGCGAGUAUAAAGCGUUGCUAACCUGUGAAGGGGAGUUAAUUGCAUAAAACUCGUCUUAGUUCGGAUCGGAGUCUGUAAUUUGGCUCCGUGAAGUCGGAAUCGCUAGUAAUCGCGGAUUAGUAUGUUGCGGUGAAUACGUUUUCGGGCCUUGUAUAUAUUGCCCGUCACACCAUGGGAGUCAAUUGCUCCAGAAGUCACCACGUUAUA